This 573-nucleotide ribosomal RNA is filed under the name Triticum aestivum (bread wheat). RNAcentral's name for it is "partial small subunit ribosomal RNA". The record is from RNAcentral. Lineage: Eukaryota; Viridiplantae; Streptophyta; Magnoliopsida; Poales; Poaceae.
AUGAAGAGCAGCACGCUGGUGGCGAUCCUAAUCCUCCACACCAUGACGGUCAUGGGAAUCCUCUCACACUCUCAGGCCGUCGACGUCGAUUUCCCCAAGUGCUGCGACAACUGCAGCACCUGGUCGGGGGGCAUGUUCUGCGACGAAGUCGGCCCCAAGUGCCGCAACGGCUGCGCGAACUGCCACGUGGUGCAGACGACCCCCGUGAAGACGUUCCGGUGCGGAGAUGCACGCGCCGCCCACUUAGGGCAUCUCCAGCCGCGCCCCCAAAAAAGCCUUUCCAGACGUUUUUUUUGCGCCGACGCCGAAAAAUCGGCCCAGUCGCGCCCUCAGGAGCCUGAUUUUCGCCGGCUUGGGCCGAAAACAGCGCCGGCGGACUCAGGCCGAACCCGGCGCGCUGGGGGGCGCCCGGGGGCGCCGGGGCGAACUGUUUUGGCGCGAAACAGCCGCGGGCCCGCCGCGUCAGCGACUCUACCCUCUUCUCGGUCCUUCGUCGUCCUCAUCGCCUCGUUUCCCGCGGCGAAUCAAUGCCAAAGCUGCCGCGCUGCCGCGCCGGUCAGCCUGCGCCAUUGA